GUGCUUACACAUGCAGUCGAACGGUGAAGGAGAGCUUGCUCUCCGGAUCAGUGGCGAACGGGUGAGUAACACGUGAGCAAUCUGCCCCUGACUCUGGGAUAAGCGCUGGAAACGGCGUCUAAUACCGGAUACGAGCUGCGAAGGCAUCUUCAGCAGCUGGAAAGAACUUCGGUCAGGGAUGAGCUCGCGGCCUAUCAGCUUGUUGGUGAGGUAAUGGCUCACCAAGGCGUCGACGGGUAGCCGGCCUGAGAGGGUGACCGGCCACACUGGGACUGAGACACGGCCCAGACUCCUACGGGAGGCAGCAGUGGGGAAUAUUGCACAAUGGGCGCAAGCCUGAUGCAGCAACGCCGCGUGAGGGACGACGGCCUUCGGGUUGUAAACCUCUUUUAGCAGGGAAGAAGCGAAAGUGACGGUACCUGCAGAAAAAGCACCGGCUAACUACGUGCCA
RNAcentral lists this ribosomal RNA (451 nucleotides) under Microbacterium sp. RNAcentral's name for it is "bacterial SSU rRNA". It matches the Rfam family "Bacterial small subunit ribosomal RNA", at positions 44 to 510 of the family's 1533-position model. The record is from RNAcentral. Lineage: Bacteria; Bacillati; Actinomycetota; Actinomycetes; Micrococcales; Microbacteriaceae.